RNAcentral lists this ribosomal RNA (444 nucleotides) under uncultured bacterium. Its description in RNAcentral is "bacterial SSU rRNA". It matches the Rfam family "Bacterial small subunit ribosomal RNA", at positions 331 to 792 of the family's 1533-position model. The record is from RNAcentral.
CCAGACUCCUACGGGAGGCAGCAGUGGGGAAUAUUGCACAAUGGGGGAAACCCUGAUGCAGCGACGCCGCGUGAGUGAAGAAGUAUUUCGGUAUGUAAAGCUCUAUCAGCAGGGAAGAAAAUGACGGUACCUGAUUAAGAAGCCCCGGCUAACUACGUGCCAGCAGCCGCGGUAAUACGUAGGGGGCAAGCGUUAUCCGGAAUUACUGGGUGUAAAGGGAGCGUAGACGGUGAAGUAAGUCUGGAGUGAAAGGCGGGGGCCCAACCCCCGGACUGCUCUGGAAACUAUUUGACUGGAGUGCAGGAGAGGUAAGCGGAAUUCCUAGUGUAGCGGUGAAAUGCGUAGAUAUUAGGAGGAACACCGGCGGCGAAGGCGGCUUACUGGACUGUAACUGACGUUGAGGCUCGAAGGCGUGGGGAGCAAACAGGAUUAGAUACCCCUGUA